GACGAACGCUGGCGGCGUGCUUAACACAUGCAAGUCGAACGGAAAGGCCCUGCUUUUGUGGGGUGCUCGAGUGGCGAACGGGUGAGUAACACGUGAGUAGCCUGCCCUUGACUUUGGGAUAACUUCAGGAAACUGGGGCUAAUACCGGAUAGGAGCUCCUGCUGCAUGGUGGGGGUUGGAAAGUUUCGGCGGUUGGGGAUGGACUCGCGGCUUAUCAGCUUGUUGGUGGGGUAGUGGCUUACCAAGGCUUUGACGGGUAGCCGGCCUGAGAGGGUGACCGGCCACAUUGGGACUGAGAUACGGCCCAGACUCCUACGGGAGGCAGCGGUGGGGAAUAUUGCACAAUGGGCGGAAGCCUGAUGCAGCAACGCCGCGUGCGGGAUGACGGCCUUCGGGUUGUAAACCGCUUUCGCCUGUGACGAAGCGUGAGUGACGGUAAUGGGUAAAGAAGCACCGGCUAACUACGUG
Molecule: ribosomal RNA, 468 nt
Filed under: uncultured bacterium
Lineage: Bacteria
Description: partial 16S ribosomal RNA
Rfam family: Bacterial small subunit ribosomal RNA
Source: RNAcentral